AGAAGAAGAAACCAGCUACACCAGCGUUGAGGCAACGAGAGAACAUCAUUACGAAGCCAGAGCCUUCAUCGCAAUCUUCAACGGCGGCGGCAGAAUCUAACAUGAGCUCACAAAGGGAAGACCGCGGCCUUGUCCGGCGCUAUAGGACAUCGCUGUUGUUCUUGUGCUUUAUCGGAGUGGUGCCGGGAGGACUAGGAGCUGGAUUGGUCACGACGCUGCUUAGCUCUUCGUAGUCAUCCGUUUAUCAGCCGACAAACGAGGGAGAACCUAUCAGAAACUCACAAAAGGAAUACCGCGACGAUGUCCGGCCCUAUAUGGCAUCGCUGUUGUUCUUGUGCCUUAUCGGAGUGGUGCCAUGGAGGACUAGUUGCUGGAUUGGUGAGGGCGCUGCUGAGCUACUCGUAGUCAUCGGCCACUCCAGCGAAAAAUGGGGGAGAAUCUAACGAGAGCUCACAAAAGGAAGACCGCGGCGAUGACCGGCGCCCUAUGGCAUCGCUGUUGUUCUUGUGCCUUAUCGGAGUGGUGCCAGGAGGACUAGGAGCUUGAUUGAUCACGGCGCUGCUUCGCUCAUCGUAGUUAUCCGUUUAUCUACCGACAAACGACGCAGAAUCUAUCAGGAGCUCACAAAAGAAAGACCGCGGCGUCGUCCGGCGCUAUAUGGCACCGCUGUUGUUCUUGUGCCUUAUCGGAGUGGUGCCUGGAGGAAUAGUAGCUGGAUUGGUGAAGGCGCUCCUUAGUUCCUCGUAGUCAUCGGCCUCUCAACCGACAAACCAGGUCUGUCGACUCUGCAAGCGGCUUGUAGUCAAGACUGGCCAGCGCGGUCGCGAGUGACUGCCUACGUGUUCUGUAUGGAAGAAAGCGGGAAAGGACGUGGUAAAUGGCUCGCUCGCUGCCACAGUGGUCACAAGUAGUACAAUGUUCCCUAAUGAUGCGGAAAACGAAGGAUUUAGCAAAAUGGACGCCAAACGACUGCCGGGAAAAUUUUGUUGUCUCGGGCCAGGAUGGUGCAAGUGGGGGACAACGUCGAAGACGAGAGCCCAAUCGAUACAGACACCGGUGCUGGAAACUGUUCCGCAAAGAUUAUGUGGAGACAUGUGUUGUUGAAAGAUUAUAAAAAUGA
This is a long non-coding RNA of Dermacentor andersoni, 1120 nucleotides long. RefSeq lists it as uncharacterized. The record is from RefSeq and is a predicted model, not a curated record. Lineage: Eukaryota; Metazoa; Arthropoda; Arachnida; Ixodida; Ixodidae.